CAGCCGCCGCGGGAAUACGUAGGUGGCAAGCGUUGUCCGGAAUUAUUGGGCGUAAAGGGCUCGCAGGCGGUUUCUUAAGUCUGAUGUGAAUGCCCCCGGCUCAACCGGGGAGGGUCAUUGGAAACUGGGAAACUUGAGUGCAGAAGAGGAGAGUGGAAUUCCACGUGUAGCGGUGAAAUGCGUAGAGAUGUGGAGGAACACCAGUGGCGAAGGCGACUCUCUGGUCUGUAACUGACGCUGAGGAGCGAAAGCGUGGGGAGCGAACAGGAUUAGAGACCCCUGUAGUCCCUGUCUCUUAUAC
This 301-nucleotide ribosomal RNA is filed under the name uncultured bacterium. RNAcentral describes it as "partial 16S ribosomal RNA". It matches the Rfam family "Bacterial small subunit ribosomal RNA", at positions 509 to 807 of the family's 1533-position model. The record is from RNAcentral.